This 297-nucleotide long non-coding RNA is filed under the name Physcomitrium patens. Its description in RNAcentral is "long non-coding RNA (PPAT_LNC007336)". The record is from RNAcentral. Lineage: Eukaryota; Viridiplantae; Streptophyta; Bryopsida; Funariales; Funariaceae.
UUUUAAAAAUACUUAAUUAUAUAUAUAAAGAUACAAAGGUAUUUCUGUAAAAAAAAAUUGAUUAUCAAUUUUUUUUUAUUGCAGGUAUUGAUUAUAAUUAUAGUUGUGAUAAAAUAUAAAUUAGUUAUCUUCAUGUACUAAAGUUUUUAUAAAACAUACAUCACAUAUUAUUUUUUUAAUUUUUAAAAAAAAUCACCUUUUUUAUUUUAAAAUGGAGACUAAUAUAUGAAUUGGAUAAUUACAUGGCAGCUUUGUAAUAUCCUUGAUCUAACUCUAGUAUAUCAUAUUUUUUGGAAG